UUGUGAGAUGUGAGACGGAGUUUAAAAUUACCACUGAUCCGGAUUAAAACGUGGGAUUACACGGUCGACAGUUAAUGGUGGGAGAAACUGAUGACUUGAGACUUUUGAUGGACAGCGGAUUUGUGUUUCUUGACUGCGAGGAGCCGACUUGUGUUACAUACGGAUUCGCUAUUAAAUGGAUAUAACAGAUCGUUACUCCUCAAGAUUCGUAAUUUUUGGGGUAAAAUACAAAAGCAAAUUAAAGGGAAAACAACCUGUAGAAGAAUAUGGAGAGAAAUUGAUCAUCGAAUUUUUUGCUAGAAAAUCAUGAACCUGUUCACUCCCAAGAAAAAAUUGAGUACAGGAACUGAAGAAUGCAACAUUCAGGCUGUAUGUUUAAACCAUCCCCUGCUCAGUGAAUUAUGUGUUGACUUUACACUGGAAAAUCAGACUGGGUUAGUUUGAUUUUCCAGUCCCAAACUGGGAUAGUCUUCUGACAUAGAUAAUAUCAUCAGAACUUAAGUGGAAGGAAACUGUGGAAUAACAACUGAGAAAAUUGUGGAGAAGCGACUGACAACAUUGAUAAUUCAACAAUGUUUUCCAUUUAAAAAAGUUUAAAUACUUUUUCAAAAUCAAUGCACGAGUGCUGCAUCUCUCUCUUUCUCUGCAUCAUUGAUUUCUCCUUACAUGAUACAACGAAGAGCUUUUUCUGAAUUAUUGAUAGCCAGUGAUGAGUAGUGGAUUUUAUAUAACAAUGUUCAGUGUAAAUAAAUAUAAAGUAAUUGAAGGUACAAAACCUGUUGAAAAGGUUGGAUUAUAUCUUUUCAAAAUUGUUAUAGAGAGUUUGGAGAAACAUCAUAAGAAUUAUUAAUUUCAAACUACUUCCAUGUAGUGAAACGAGCCCAUUAGAGAAGACUACACUCACAAACUCAACACAACCAUUUGAGAAAAACAAGCAGUUUUUUUCAAGCAGAAAAGCUGUAAUCUUCCUCUGCAACAAUACUAAAGCGAAUGGUAACAUAUGCAGAGGAAACUGCAAGAAUGAAAUGAAUGCAAAUACGAAAUUCCUCAAAACCACCAUAUCCUCUCAAUCUUGUGCCAUCUUACUAUCACUUGUUUCAAUUUUUGCAGAAUAAUUCAAGCAGCAAAAAUUUUAAAAUUUGUUAAAGAUGUAUAAAAGC
Argiope bruennichi is the source of this 1160-nucleotide long non-coding RNA. RefSeq lists it as uncharacterized. The transcript has 3 exons. Lineage: Eukaryota; Metazoa; Arthropoda; Arachnida; Araneae; Araneidae. The record is from RefSeq and is a predicted model, not a curated record.